Molecule: ribosomal RNA, 410 nt
Filed under: uncultured Methylomirabilota bacterium
Lineage: Bacteria; Methylomirabilota (SeqCode)
Description: bacterial SSU rRNA
Rfam family: Bacterial small subunit ribosomal RNA
Source: RNAcentral
AGCGUGGAGACAGGUGGUGCAUGGCUGUCGUCAGCUCGUGUCGUGAGAUGUUGGGUUAAGUCCCGCAACGAGCGCAACCCUCACCCCUUGUUGCCAUCAGGUCAUGCUGGGCACUCUAGGGGAACUGCCCCGGUCAACGGGGAGGAAGGCGGGGAUGACGUCAAGUCAUCAUGCCCCUUACGUCCUGGGCUACACACGUGCUACAAUGGCCGGUACAAAGGGUUGCGAUACCGCAAGGUGGAGCUAAUCCCAUAAAGCCGGUCUCAGUUCGGAUUGGAGUCUGCAACUCGACUCCAUGAAGGAGGAAUCGCUAGUAAUCGCGUAUCAGCACGACGCGGUGAAUACGUUCCCGGGCCUUGUACACACCGCCCGUCACACCACGAAAGCCAGCUGUACUCGAAGUCGCUGAG